This 303-nucleotide ribosomal RNA is filed under the name uncultured bacterium. Its description in RNAcentral is "partial 16S ribosomal RNA". It matches the Rfam family "Bacterial small subunit ribosomal RNA", at positions 507 to 807 of the family's 1533-position model. The record is from RNAcentral.
AGCAGUAGCCGCGGGAAAACGAGGGGGGCAAGCGUUGUUCGGAAUUAUUGGGCGUAAAGGGUGCGUAGGCGGUCUGAUAAGUCUGAUGUGAAAUCUAUGGGCUCAACCCAUAGUCUGCAUCGGAAACUGUCAGGCUUGAGGAUGGGAGAGGUGAGUGGAAUUUCCGGAGUAGCGGUGAAAUGCGCAGAUACCAGGAGGAACGCCGAUGGCGAAGGCAGCCACCUGGUCCACUUCUGACGCUGAGGCGCGAAAGCGUGGGGAGCAAACCGGAUUAGAUACCCCCGUAGUCCCUGUCUCUUAUAC